RNAcentral lists this ribosomal RNA (467 nucleotides) under uncultured bacterium. Its description in RNAcentral is "bacterial SSU rRNA". It matches the Rfam family "Bacterial small subunit ribosomal RNA", at positions 28 to 507 of the family's 1533-position model. The record is from RNAcentral.
GACGAACGCUGGCGGCGUGCUUAACACAUGCAAGUCGAACGAUGAAGCUGGAGCUUGCUCCGGUGGAUUAGUGGCGAACGGGUGAGUAACACGUGAGCAAUCUGCCCUUCACUCUGGGAUAACUGCGGGAAACUGUAGCUAAUACCGGAUAUGACUCCUGGGGGCAUCCCUGGGAGUGGAAAGAAUUUCGGUGAAGGAUGAGCUCGCGGCCUAUCAGCUAGUUGGUGAGGUAAUGGCUCACCAAGGCGACGACGGGUAGCCGGCCUGAGAGGGUGACCGGCCACACUGGAACUGAGACACGGUCCAGACUCCUACGGGAGGCAGCAGUGGGGAAUAUUGCACAAUGGGCGAAAGCCUGAUGCAGCAACGCCGCGUGAGGGAUGAAGGCCUUCGGGUUGUAAACCUCUUUUAGCAGGGAAGAAGGGUAACUGACGGUACCUGCAGAAAAAGCACCGGCUAACUACGUG